This 2933-nucleotide ribosomal RNA is filed under the name Escherichia coli. RNAcentral's name for it is "bacterial LSU rRNA". It matches the Rfam family "Bacterial large subunit ribosomal RNA". The record is from RNAcentral. Lineage: Bacteria; Pseudomonadati; Pseudomonadota; Gammaproteobacteria; Enterobacterales; Enterobacteriaceae.
GGGUUGUGAGGUUAAGCGACUAAGCGUACACGGUGGAUGCCCUGGCAGUCAGAGGCGAUGAAGGACGUGCUAAUCUGCGAUAAGCGUCGGUAAGGUGAUAUGAACCGUUAUAACCGGCGAUUUCCGAAUGGGGAAACCCAGUGUGAUUCGUCACACUAUCAUUAACUGAAUCCAUAGGUUAAUGAGGCGAACCGGGGGAACUGAAACAUCUAAGUACCCCGAGGAAAAGAAAUCAACCGAGAUUCCCCCAGUAGCGGCGAGCGAACGGGGAGCAGCCCAGAGCCUGAAUCAGUGUGUGUGUUAGUGGAAGCGUCUGGAAAGGCGCGCGAUACAGGGUGACAGCCCCGUACACAAAAAUGCACAUACUGUGAGCUCGAUGAGUAGGGCGGGACACGUGGUAUCCUGUCUGAAUAUGGGGGGACCAUCCUCCAAGGCUAAAUACUCCUGACUGACCGAUAGUGAACCAGUACCGUGAGGGAAAGGCGAAAAGAACCCCGGCGAGGGGAGUGAAAAAGAACCUGAAACCGUGUACGUACAAGCAGUGGGAGCACAGAGCAAUCUGUGUGACUGCGUACCUUUUGUAUAAUGGGUCAGCGACUUAUAUUCUGUAGCAAGGUUAACCGAAUAGGGGAGCCGAAGGGAAACCGAGUCUUAACUGGGCGUUAAGUUGCAGGGUAUAGACCCGAAACCCGGUGAUCUAGCCAUGGGCAGGUUGAAGGUUGGGUAACACUAACUGGAGGACCGAACCGACUAAUGUUGAAAAAUUAGCGGAUGACUUGUGGCUGGGGGUGAAAGGCCAAUCAAACCGGGAGAUAGCUGGUUCUCCCCGAAAGCUAUUUAGGUAGCGCCUCGUGAAUUCAUCUCCGGGGGUAGAGCACUGUUUCGGCAAGGGGGUCAUCCCGACUUACCAACCCGAUGCAAACUGCGAAUACCGGAGAAUGUUAUCACGGGAGACACACGGCGGGUGCUAACGUCCGUCGUGAAGAGGGAAACAACCCAGACCGCCAGCUAAGGUCCCAAAGUCAUGGUUAAGUGGGAAACGAUGUGGGAAGGCCCAGACAGCCAGGAUGUUGGCUUAGAAGCAGCCAUCAUUUAAAGAAAGCGUAAUAGCUCACUGGUCGAGUCGGCCUGCGCGGAAGAUGUAACGGGGCUAAACCAUGCACCGAAGCUGCGGCAGCGACGCUGAUGCGUUGUUGGGUAGGGGAGCGUUCUGUAAGCCUGUGAAGGUGUACUGUGAGGUAUGCUGGAGGUAUCAGAAGUGCGAAUGCUGACAUAAGUAACGAUAAAGCGGGUGAAAAGCCCGCUCGCCGGAAGACCAAGGGUUCCUGUCCAACGUUAAUCGGGGCAGGGUGAGUCGACCCCUAAGGCGAGGCCGAAAGGCGUAGUCGAUGGGAAACAGGUUAAUAUUCCUGUACUUGGUGUUACUGCGAAGGGGGGACGGAGAAGGCUAUGUUGGCCGGGCGACGGUUGUCCCGGUUUAAGCGUGUAGGCUGGUUUUCCAGGCAAAUCCGGAAAAUCAAGGCUGAGGCGUGAUGACGAGGCACUACGGUGCUGAAGCAACAAAUGCCCUGCUUCCAGGAAAAGCCUCUAAGCAUCAGGUAACAUCAAAUCGUACCCCAAACCGACACAGGUGGUCAGGUAGAGAAUACCAAGGCGCUUGAGAGAACUCGGGUGAAGGAACUAGGCAAAAUGGUGCCGUAACUUCGGGAGAAGGCACGCUGAUAUGUAGGUGAAGUCCCUCGCGGAUGGAGCUGAAAUCAGUCGAAGAUACCAGCUGGCUGCAACUGUUUAUUAAAAACACAGCACUGUGCAAACACGAAAGUGGACGUAUACGGUGUGACGCCUGCCCGGUGCCGGAAGGUUAAUUGAUGGGGUUAGCGCAAGCGAAGCUCUUGAUCGAAGCCCCGGUAAACGGCGGCCGUAACUAUAACGGUCCUAAGGUAGCGAAAUUCCUUGUCGGGUAAGUUCCGACCUGCACGAAUGGCGUAAUGAUGGCCAGGCUGUCUCCACCCGAGACUCAGUGAAAUUGAACUCGCUGUGAAGAUGCAGUGUACCCGCGGCAAGACGGAAAGACCCCGUGAACCUUUACUAUAGCUUGACACUGAACAUUGAGCCUUGAUGUGUAGGAUAGGUGGGAGGCUUUGAAGUGUGGACGCCAGUCUGCAUGGAGCCGACCUUGAAAUACCACCCUUUAAUGUUUGAUGUUCUAACGUUGACCCGUAAUCCGGGUUGCGGACAGUGUCUGGUGGGUAGUUUGACUGGGGCGGUCUCCUCCUAAAGAGUAACGGAGGAGCACGAAGGUUGGCUAAUCCUGGUCGGACAUCAGGAGGUUAGUGCAAUGGCAUAAGCCAGCUUGACUGCGAGCGUGACGGCGCGAGCAGGUGCGAAAGCAGGUCAUAGUGAUCCGGUGGUUCUGAAUGGAAGGGCCAUCGCUCAACGGAUAAAAGGUACUCCGGGGAUAACAGGCUGAUACCGCCCAAGAGUUCAUAUCGACGGCGGUGUUUGGCACCUCGAUGUCGGCUCAUCACAUCCUGGGGCUGAAGUAGGUCCCAAGGGUAUGGCUGUUCGCCAUUUAAAGUGGUACGCGAGCUGGGUUUAGAACGUCGUGAGACAGUUCGGUCCCUAUCUGCCGUGGGCGCUGGAGAACUGAGGGGGGCUGCUCCUAGUACGAGAGGACCGGAGUGGACGCAUCACUGGUGUUCGGGUUGUCAUGCCAAUGGCACUGCCCGGUAGCUAAAUGCGGAAGAGAUAAGUGCUGAAAGCAUCUAAGCACGAAACUUGCCCCGAGAUGAGUUCUCCCUGACCCUUUAAGGGUCCUGAAGGAACGUUGAAGACGACGACGUUGAUAGGCCGGGUGUGUAAGCGCAGCGAUGCGUUGAGCUAACCGGUACUAAUGAACCGUGAGGCUUAACCUUACAACGCCGAAGGUGUUU